RNAcentral lists this unclassified non-coding RNA (799 nucleotides) under Bombus terrestris (buff-tailed bumblebee). RNAcentral describes it as "misc RNA ENSBTSG00005037457.1". The record is from RNAcentral. Lineage: Eukaryota; Metazoa; Arthropoda; Insecta; Hymenoptera; Apidae.
UCAGUCACAUUCACUUUCUUGCAAUUUGCAUGGUAUUUUGUUCAUGGUUGCAUUCUUUUAAGAGGUUUUGUUCAUUUCUUCUUUUUUUUUUUUUGCUUGACUGUGGGUAGUUGUUCUUUUUUUUAAAAGAGUAUCGAGCAGAUUGUCAAUUCGGGAGCAAAAAAGAACACGAUCGUCCUGAGGCAGGAUAAUAAUAAUAAUAAUAAUAAAUAAAGGGCGGGUAGUAAACUUUCGUGAGAGUAGAACUGCAUGCAUAUAUAAUCAUGUAUAAAUAGAUAUGUAAUAAAGGCAAUGAAAAUAUGUACGUAAUAAGUUUCAGGGCUGGAUUAUCUGCGAUAUAUAAAAGUUGGAGUAUGUUGAAGCUGAAUAUUUUAAGCGAUUUGUGUAAUAGUGCUGAAUAUAAUGAGAUCGAUAUAGGGAUUGCGUAUGGGGGCAUGAUUCGUUCUUGGAGGAUCCACACAUUCCCCCGUGAAUCGAAAGUCAGACGAUAUCUAAUUCGUCCAAGGGACAAAUGAUCGCAUCAUCGUCCCGGAAAGUGAGCAAUGCCGUGCACUUCCGGCUGCGUGCACCGUGCCACCAUUCUCGUUCCAUCGGUGACUUGGGGAUCAAACGUUACCGGGGUUCUGAUCCUCCAAGUACGAGCAUAGCAAGGUGGCAGGCACAGUUGUUACUACUGGUAAAAAAAAAAUAAGAAUAUAAAAUCCAAAAACCAGAGUGAACGGUAUAUAAAAAGGAAACGCAAAUCAGUUUAAAUCAAAUUGAAAAAAACGUAACGGAAAGAAGAGAGAAACGGAUAUAU